UUACUUGGAUAACUGUGGUAAUUCUAGAGCUAAUACAUGCACCGAAGUUGUUCCUCGCGGAGCAAUGCAUUUAUUUGAGCAAAACCAGGCGGCUUCGGCCGUUUCUGUUGAAUCAGAAUAACUAAGCUGAUCGCAUGGGCUUGUCCCGGCGACGUGUCUUUCAAGUGUCUGCCUUAUCAACUUUCGAUGGUAGUGUACGUGACUACCAUGGUGUUGACGGGUAACGGAGGAUAAGGGUUCGACUCCGGAGAAGGGGCCUGAGAAAUGGCCACUACGUCUAAGGAUGGCAGCAGGCGCGCAAAUUACCCACUCUCGGUUCGAGGAGGUAGUGACGAAAAAUAACAAGGCCGUUCUCUUUGAGGCCGGCCAUUGGAAUGGGUACAACUUAAACCCUUUAACGAGUAUCAAUGAGAGGGCAAGUCUGGUGCCAGCAGCCGCGGUAAUUCCAGCUCUCAAAAUGCAUAGAACCAUUGCUGCGGUUAAAAAGCUCGUAGUUGGAUCUGUGCCGGCGACGUGGUCCGCCCUAACGGGAGGUACUGCGCUCGUCGGCUUUGGGCCGGUUUUCGGUCGGUCGCCUUAACUGGCGGCCGCUCGUGGCUGGCUGGUUUACUUUGAGCAAAUCAGAGUGCUCAGCACAGGCGUCUCGCCGGAAUGUUCGUGCAUGGAAUAAUAGAAAAGGAUUUCGGUCCUCUUUUAUUGGUUUUGUGGACUGAGAUAAUGGUUAACAGAGACGGACGGGGGCAUUCGUAUUGCUGCGUGAGAGGUGAAAUUCUUGGACCGCAGCAGGACGGACUACAGCGAAAGCAUU
RNAcentral lists this ribosomal RNA (808 nucleotides) under Paratylenchus sp. F PRS-2020. Its description in RNAcentral is "SSU rRNA". It matches the Rfam family "Eukaryotic small subunit ribosomal RNA", at positions 135 to 955 of the family's 1831-position model. Lineage: Eukaryota; Metazoa; Nematoda; Chromadorea; Rhabditida; Tylenchulidae. The record is from RNAcentral.